ACACUUGACUGAUAAGGGAAGAAGGCCUCGAGUGAGCAUGCAUACAACUUCAGAAAACACUGAUCGUGCGGCUCCUCCCAAGUGCUGGCAGGCCACUGUGCAUGUGGACAGCCCACCCCAAGGGAAGAAUCAGGGGAGAAAGGUGCACUCCACCCGCCUGGGAAGCAUGCUGAUGUAUAAAACCCCAAGGUUUUUCCUCCAAUGGAAGUAGGUCAGCCCUACCUGCAGAGUGGAGAAACCUAACUGGACCACAGACAAGAACAGUGACCUGGCCUUACCUGCUGCUGCCCCAGAUUCUAGAUGGAACCUGCAUGGAGGGGACAGCACGAGCUACUGAGCAGCUGGACAUAACACCCCCCAGAUCCUAACAGGGACUUUUGGGAGGAACAGGGGCAAAUUUUAAUUCUUAUUUUCAAUAUUUUGCAAAUUGUCUAUAAUGAGGAUCUUCACUUUCAAAAUCAG
This 462-nucleotide long non-coding RNA is filed under the name Homo sapiens (human). RNAcentral describes it as "HSALNT0242768". Lineage: Eukaryota; Metazoa; Chordata; Mammalia; Primates; Hominidae. The record is from RNAcentral.